AGGUCCCUACGGGGCGCAGCAGUGAGGAAUAUUGGUCAAUGGGCGAGAGCCUGAACCAGCCAAGUCGCGUGAAGGAUGACGGCCCUACGGGUUGUAACCUUCUUUUGUCAGGGGGCAAUUGGGUCCACGCGUGGGCUUAGCGAGAGUACCUGAAGAAAAAGCAUCGGCUAACUCCGUGCCAGCAGCCGCGGUAAUACGGAGGAUGCGAGCGUUAUCCGGAUUUAUUGGGUUUAAAGGGUGCGUAGGCGGAAUAUCAAGUCAGCGGUAAAAAUUCGGGGC
Molecule: ribosomal RNA, 279 nt
Filed under: uncultured bacterium
Lineage: Bacteria
Description: partial 16S ribosomal RNA
Rfam family: Bacterial small subunit ribosomal RNA
Source: RNAcentral